UUGGCUCAGGUGAACGCUGGCGGCACGCUUAACACAUGCAAGUCGAACGGGGUUAUUCGGAGCUUGCUUUGAAUAACUUAGUGGCGGACGGGUGAGUAACACGUGAGCAAUCUGCCCUUAAGAGGGGGAUAGCAGUUGGAAACGACUGAUAAUACCGCAUAAGAUAGUAGUAUCGCAUGAUACAGCUAUAAAAGAUUUAUCGCUUAAGGAUGAGCUCGCGUCUGAUUAGCUGGUUGGUGAGGUAACGGCUCACCAAGGCAACGAUCAGUAGCCGGACUGAGAGGUUGGACGGCCACAUUGGGACUGAGACACGGCCCAGACUCCUACGGGAGGCAGCAGUGGGGAAUA
RNAcentral lists this ribosomal RNA (348 nucleotides) under uncultured rumen bacterium. RNAcentral describes it as "bacterial SSU rRNA". It matches the Rfam family "Bacterial small subunit ribosomal RNA", at positions 19 to 363 of the family's 1533-position model. The record is from RNAcentral.